GCUAGCGGCAGGCCUAAUACAUGCAAGUCGAACGGUAACAUUGGUGCUUGCACCAGAUGACGAGUGGCGCACGGGUGCGUAACGCGUAUGCAACCUACCUUUUACUAGAGUAUAGCCCAGAGAAAUUUGGAUUAAUCCUCUAUAAUAUCUUUUAAUUUCAUGAUUUUAAGAUUAAAGUUUUAACGGUAAAAGAUGGGCAUGCGUCCCAUUAGUUUGUAGGUGAGGUAACGGCUCACCUAGACUACGAUAGGUAGGGGCCCUGAGAGGGGGAUCCCCCACACUGGUACUGAGACACGGACCAGACUCCUACGGGAGGCAGCAGUAAGGAAUAUUGGACAAUGGACGAAAGUCUGAUCCAGCCAUGCCGCGUGCAGGAUGACAGCCCUACGGGUUGUAAACUGCUUUUAUACAGGAAGAAACACUCCGACGUGUCGGAGCUUGACGGUACUGUAAGAAUAAGGAUCGGCUAACUCCGUGCCAGCAGCCCGCGGUAAUACGGAGGAUCCAAGCGUUAUCCGGAAUCAUUGGGUUUAAAGGGUCCGCAGGCUGUUUUUUAAGUCAGAGGUGAAAUCCUGCAGCUCAACUGUAGAACUGCCUUUGAUACUGGAAAACUUGAGUUAUUGUGAAGUGGUUAGAAUGUGUGGGGUA
Molecule: ribosomal RNA, 648 nt
Filed under: uncultured Flavobacteriia bacterium
Lineage: Bacteria; Pseudomonadati; Bacteroidota; Flavobacteriia
Description: bacterial SSU rRNA
Rfam family: Bacterial small subunit ribosomal RNA
Source: RNAcentral